RNAcentral lists this ribosomal RNA (502 nucleotides) under uncultured bacterium. RNAcentral's name for it is "bacterial SSU rRNA". It matches the Rfam family "Bacterial small subunit ribosomal RNA", at positions 28 to 526 of the family's 1533-position model. The record is from RNAcentral.
GAUGAACGCUAGCGGCAGGCUUAAUACAUGCAAGUCGAGGGGCAGCACGGUUAGCAAUAACUGGUGGCGACCGGCGCACGGGUGCGUAACACGUAUACAAUCUACCUUAAACAGGGGGAUAGCCUUUCGAAAGAGAGAUUAAUACCCCGUAAUAAAUUGAACGGCAUCGUAUGAUUUUGAAAGCUCCGGCGGUUUGAGAUGAGUAUGCGUUUGAUUAGCUAGUUGGUGAGGUAACGGCUCACCAAGGCGACGAUCAGUAGGGGAUCUGAGAGGCCUAACCCCCACACUGGUACGGAGACACGGACCAGACUCCUACGGGAGGCAGCAGUAAGUAAUAUUGUUCAAUGGAGGCAACUCUGAACCAGCCAUGCCGCGUGCAGGAUGACGGCCCUAUGGGUUGUAAACUGCUUUUAUACCAGAGAGAACCCGAGUACGUGUACUCGGUUGAUAGUAUGGUAAGAAUAAGCAUCGGCUAACUUCGUGCCAGCAGCCGCAGUAAUAC